RNAcentral lists this ribosomal RNA (389 nucleotides) under Pantoea sp. AMG 501. Its description in RNAcentral is "bacterial SSU rRNA". It matches the Rfam family "Bacterial small subunit ribosomal RNA", at positions 1 to 384 of the family's 1533-position model. Lineage: Bacteria; Pseudomonadati; Pseudomonadota; Gammaproteobacteria; Enterobacterales; Erwiniaceae. The record is from RNAcentral.
ACUUAAAUUGAAGAGUUUGAUCAUGGCUCAGAUUGAACGCUGGCGGCAGGCCUAACACAUGCAAGUCGGACGGUAGCACAGAGAGCUUGCUCUCGGGUGACGAGUGGCGGACGGGUGAGUAAUGUCUGGGGAUCUGCCCGAUAGAGGGGGAUAACCACUGGAAACGGUGGCUAAUACCGCAUAACGUCGCAAGACCAAAGAGGGGGACCUUCGGGCCUCUCACUAUCGGAUGAACCCAGAUGGGAUUAGCUAGUAGGCGGGGUAAUGGCCCACCUAGGCGACGAUCCCUAGCUGGUCUGAGAGGAUGACCAGCCACACUGGAACUGAGACACGGUCCAGACUCCUACGGGAGGCAGCAGUGGGGAAUAUUGCACAAUGGGCGCAAGCCU